ACGAAGGUGGGUCAGCAAUUUGCAUAUGCAUUAACAACAACACUGUUCAUGGGACCUCCUUUUGAGUUUGCUUAUAAAACAGGAUGACUUUUUACCAGUUAUAGAGAUCUUGACAACUGAUGAAGAGCUGGUGCCAAGUCUACCAACGAAUCCACAAACACCGGAGCAAGUGCGGAUCAACCCUGCCGAGGAGAGCGCAAGCUUAUCGACACCUACGCUUAUUUGGCCAGAAGAACCAGAAAAAACUUUUGAAGAGGGGAAAAAAUCCCGCCUAAAGCUCAACAAAAAAAGGAGACUUUUUAGCGAAUCAGGUACUGAGAACCACACGGCAGAGAGGGCCUUGGGAGAAACGGUGGUGAAACAGAUCACAGCACAAAAACCUAUACAGAUUGAAGAGUGCGGUAAGUCGGCGGAACCCA
Long non-coding RNA from Anguilla rostrata (American eel), 419 nucleotides. RefSeq lists it as uncharacterized. Lineage: Eukaryota; Metazoa; Chordata; Actinopteri; Anguilliformes; Anguillidae. The transcript is spliced from 3 exons. The record is from RefSeq and is a predicted model, not a curated record.